UACAUACGGAUAUUUGUUCCAUAUCGGUCAUUACAUUUUCCUGAUUAUAACUUGGAGCGGUAUUUGAACGGCAAUUAUAUAAUAAAAUAAAAAAAUAAGUGGCGCGUUGCGUGAUCUUGGAGUUCGUGCAAGGAUCGACAGAUAUCACUAAAAUAUUCCGCUUCCCGGUCUGCAAAGAAGAAAAAAAAAUGGAUUUAGUUGCAUAUCCCAUAAAUUACGAAUGAAG
Molecule: long non-coding RNA, 226 nt
Organism: Cotesia glomerata
Lineage: Eukaryota; Metazoa; Arthropoda; Insecta; Hymenoptera; Braconidae
Exons: 3
Source: RefSeq, a predicted model, not a curated record